UGCCAGAAAACUAUGUGACAUUUCUAAGCACGUAUCUAACUGCUUUUUGUGGAAACAUGAUUAUUUCUGAGUUUUCUGGAA
This is a small nucleolar RNA of Anser brachyrhynchus (Pink-footed goose), 81 nucleotides long. The record is from Ensembl. NCBI's taxonomy places the organism in Eukaryota, Metazoa, Chordata, Aves, Anseriformes, Anatidae.